RNAcentral lists this long non-coding RNA (1428 nucleotides) under Monodelphis domestica (gray short-tailed opossum). RNAcentral describes it as "lncRNA (ENSMODG00000033725.2)". Lineage: Eukaryota; Metazoa; Chordata; Mammalia; Didelphimorphia; Didelphidae. The record is from RNAcentral.
AUGACAUGAUGGGGUGACAUCUUGACCUGUGAGUAAAUUGGAUUUCAAUGAAGUACCGUUUUACAAAGUCGUCUGCUUCACUCUCCCUUCCAGAGUCAUUAGAGUCCAGUGGCAAGACAAAAGUCGAGAUGACUAGCAAUGGCCCAGGAUGCAGUGAAUGACGUUGGCUUCUUUGGCAUCUGACCCAUCUCUAAGUGCUCCACAGAGCCUUCUUCAGCUACCUUCAUGGACAUUAUUCUCCUCUGCCCAUUCUACUGGGAGGAUAUCUUCAAAUGCCGGUGAUAGACAUUCCCUAACUUACCAAUAGGUUUGUGGUCCACCUUCAUUCUGGUUAGCCCUUCUGCAGAGAUGGUUUACUCAAGUGUGGCUGCUGUUUGUGCUACAGCUUCCUGGAGACACGGGUGUGAGCUGGGUGGCUGGUGGACACCAAAGAUGGAAGCACAGCCCUGAAAAAGGCUCAGCAAGCAGAGGUGCUCGUCUUGCCCAUACCUUCAUACACCCCAAGGUUUGCAAAGUACCUUCCAUCCACAGUCCCACUGGCUCCUGACAACAACCCCAUGACCUUGGUGCUAUUGUGAAAGUCCCCAUUUUACACAGUAGGAUCUAAGAGAAGAAAAAUGGCUGAGCCAGCAUCACAGCCAGUGUCUGAGCACUCCUGGCCCUUGGUGCUCAGGGAAGGAGAGAACUACCAGAAGGAUACACAGAGAAGGCACCUGAGAGACCGUUUAGUACCACCAUCUUUCAAUGAGACUGUGUCUAUCUUGAACUUCUAGACAUUGGUAUGGAAAGCUAGACUACCCUGCCUGGAGGAGACUGCCAAUAGCAGGAUUGCCAAUGCCAACUGUAGCUCCAGUUCUGACCAGUGAGUUCCCCAACCUGCCUAUCUUCUCCUUCUGUUACCUGCUUCCAGGAUCCGUUUUCCUCAUGUGUAAAGCGAGGAGGAUAAGAAGGGCCCCUAUUUCACAGUAUUGUUGGGAUGAUCGGACGAAAUGAAGGUAAAUCAAGAGAGAAGUCUGAGGUUCCUUCCAGUUUGAAAUCGAUGAAUCUGGAAUCCUUCCAGCCCUGAGGGUCAAUGAUUCGACAUGGAUCGCGCUUCCAUUUUUCUUCUUCUGCUCCACUUCUUCAUCAGCUUUAUGGUUCUCCUAUAAAACUCUGGUUAGCAAUGCAAAGCUUUCCGUACCCUCAGUCCUUCCUAGGAUCCUGGUGUAGAGUCCUUGGAUUUUUCUAGAAACUUAAAAAAAAAAAGAUCAAGGGAACAGCUUCCAGCUAGCUACCUUCCUGAAAUUCAGUUCUGUAAGCAUCUAUUAAUUGCCAACUGUUUGCAAAGUGUGAAUUGGAGAAAGCCUUAGGAAGGAAGUGCUGGGAAGGAUUUUUAAAGGGAGGUUCUCUCCUGUAUCCACCUGUAAAUAAAUCAGAACUACUGAAGCA